RNAcentral lists this unclassified non-coding RNA (243 nucleotides) under Hevea brasiliensis (rubber tree). Lineage: Eukaryota; Viridiplantae; Streptophyta; Magnoliopsida; Malpighiales; Euphorbiaceae. The record is from RNAcentral.
AUAAUUGAAAUGAAGAAGGCAGAAGCUUCUAGCAAUCUAGCUUUGACAAAGAUGGAUCCAUACUUUCUCAGUUUCUCUAUCAAUCUUUAGAUGGGAUGAGAUGGAAAGCAGAGAAAGAGGAAAAAGCAGAGAAAGAGGAAAAUAAGGCGUGAUUUUGAGGAAGAUAAAGAUGAAUAGGAGACUUGUGAAUGAUAUGUGGAAACAACACGUAAAUGUUUAGAAGCUUUUAGUAAUUGUUUAAAA